Molecule: ribosomal RNA, 490 nt
Filed under: uncultured bacterium
Lineage: Bacteria
Description: partial 16S ribosomal RNA
Rfam family: Bacterial small subunit ribosomal RNA
Source: RNAcentral
GUUGAACGCUGGCGGCAUGCCUAACACAUGCAAGUCGAAUGGUAACAGGAAACGGUUUGCUGUUUCGCGUACGAGGGGCGGAGGUGUGAGUAAUGUCUGUGAAACUGCUUUAUGGAGGGGGAAAACUCCUGGAAACGGUAGCUAUUCCCGCAUAACUUUUCAAAACCAUAGAGGGGUACUUUCGGGCCUUUUUCCUUCAGAUUUUCCCAGAUCGUAUUACCUAGUAGCUGGGGUAACUGCUCACCUAGGCGACGAUCCCUAGCUGGUCUGAGAGGAUGACCAGCCACACUGGAACUGAGACACGGUCCAGACUCCUACGGGAGGCAGCAGUAGGGAAUCUUGCACAAUGGGCGAAAGCCUGACGCAGCAACGCCGCGUGUAUGAAGAAGGCCUUCGGAUUGUAAAGUACUUUUAGCGGGGAAGAAGAGAGUAAUGAUAAUACCUUCGCUUAUUGACGUUACCUAAACAAGAAGCCCCGGCUAACUCCGUG